AUUCUGAAAGGGAUACUUCUUCGGACAAUAUACAAGGUGCUGCAUGGUUGUCGUCAGCUCGUGCCGUGAGGUGUCGGGUUAAGUCCCAUAACGAGCGCAACCCCUAUCAUUAGUUGCCAUCAGGUCAAGCUGGGGACUCUAAUGAAACUGCCUACGCAAGUAGUGAGGAAGGUGGGGAUGACGUCAAAUCAGCACGGCCCUUACGUCCAGGGCUACACACGUGCUACAAUGGCCGGUACAAAGGGCAGCUACCUGGUGACAGGAUGCUAAUCUCAAAAGCCGGUCUCAGUUCGGAUCGGAGUCUGCAACCCGACUCCGUGAAGCUGGAAUCGCUAGUAAUCGUGAAUCAGAAUGUCACGGUGAAUACGUUCCCGGGCCUU
RNAcentral lists this ribosomal RNA (380 nucleotides) under uncultured Sphingobacteriales bacterium. Its description in RNAcentral is "bacterial SSU rRNA". It matches the Rfam family "Bacterial small subunit ribosomal RNA", at positions 998 to 1382 of the family's 1533-position model. Lineage: Bacteria; Pseudomonadati; Bacteroidota; Sphingobacteriia; Sphingobacteriales. The record is from RNAcentral.